RNAcentral lists this ribosomal RNA (468 nucleotides) under uncultured bacterium. RNAcentral describes it as "partial 16S ribosomal RNA". It matches the Rfam family "Bacterial small subunit ribosomal RNA", at positions 28 to 507 of the family's 1533-position model. The record is from RNAcentral.
GACGAACGCUGGCGGCGUGCUUAACACAUGCAAGUCGAACGGAAAGGCCCUGCUUUUGUGGGGUGCUCGAGUGGCGAACGGGUGAGUAACACGUGAGUAACCUGCCCUUGACUUUGGGAUAACUUCAGGAAACUGGGGCUAAUACCGGAUAGGAGCUCCUGCUGCAUGGUGGGGGUUGGAAAGUUUCGGCGGUUGGGGAUGGACUCGCGGCUUAUCAGCUUGUUGGUGGGGUAGUGGUUUACCAAGGCUUUGACGGGUAGCCGGCCUGAGAGGGUGACCGACCACAUUGGGACUGAGAUACGGCCCAGACUCCUACGGGAGGCAGCAGUGGGGAAUAUUGCACAAUGGGCGGAAGCCUGAUGCAGCAACGCCGCGUGCGGGAUGACGGCCUUCGGGUUGUAAACCGCUUUCGCCUGUGACGAAGCGUGAGUGACGGUAAUGGGUAAAGAAGCACCGGCUAACUACGUG